RNAcentral lists this ribosomal RNA (468 nucleotides) under uncultured bacterium. Its description in RNAcentral is "partial 16S ribosomal RNA". It matches the Rfam family "Bacterial small subunit ribosomal RNA", at positions 28 to 507 of the family's 1533-position model. The record is from RNAcentral.
GAUGAACGCUGGCGGCGUGCUUAACACAUGCAAGUCGAACGGAAAGGCUCCUACUUGCAGGGGUACUCGAGUGGCGAACGGGUGAGUAACACGUGGGUGAUCUGCCCUGUACUUCGGGAUAAGCUUGGGAAACUGGGUCUAAUACCGGAUAGGACAACUUUUUGGAUAUUGUUGUGGAAAGCUUUUGCGGUAUGGGAUGAGCUCGCGGCCUAUCAGCUUGUUGGUGGGGUAAUGGCCUACCAAGGCGUCGACGGGUAGCCGGCCUGAGAGGGUGUACGGCCACAUUGGGACUGAGAUACGGCCCAGACUCCUACGGGAGGCAGCAGUGGGGAAUAUUGCACAAUGGGCGCAAGCCUGAUGCAGCGACGCCGCGUGGGGGAUGAAGGCCUUCGGGUUGUAAACUCCUUUCGCUAGGGACGAAGCUUUUUUGUGACGGUACCUGGAGAAGAAGCACCGGCUAACUACGUG